This is a small nucleolar RNA of Papaver somniferum (opium poppy), 81 nucleotides long. RefSeq annotates it as small nucleolar RNA J33. The record is from RefSeq and is a predicted model, not a curated record. The transcript has a single exon. Lineage: Eukaryota; Viridiplantae; Streptophyta; Magnoliopsida; Ranunculales; Papaveraceae.
CUGUAAGAGGAAUGAUGUAUUACUAUAAGGCUCUUACGAUGCUGGCAUACUUAGAUUCCGCAUCUGAAAUGGACAUUAAAA